GUCUACGGCCAUACCACCCUGAACGCGCCCGAUCUCGUCUGAUCGCGGAAGCUAAGCAGGGUCGGGCCUGGAUGGGAGAAGAACUGAUGUUU
RNAcentral lists this ribosomal RNA (92 nucleotides) under Mustela putorius furo (domestic ferret). The record is from RNAcentral. Lineage: Eukaryota; Metazoa; Chordata; Mammalia; Carnivora; Mustelidae.